Non-coding RNA from Pseudomonas sp. M47T1, 138 nucleotides. NCBI's taxonomy places the organism in Bacteria, Pseudomonadati, Pseudomonadota, Gammaproteobacteria, Pseudomonadales, Pseudomonadaceae. The record is from Rfam.
GCAGCAGAUGAGUAGACUGCUCGCGUAAACAUGACAACGUAGUGCCAAGCGAGAAGCCGGUGUAAUUCCGGCACGGUCGCGCCACUGUAACUGGGCCCCCAGAAGUCAGACCUCGCUUGGCAGCCACCUUCACCCCCU